GCUGGGCGUGGUGGUGCAUGCCUGUAAUCCCCGCUACUCGGGAGGCUGAGGUGGGAUAAUCGCUUGAACCCAGGAGGCAGAGGUUGCAGUGCGCUGAGAUCAUGCCACUGUACUUUGGCCUGGGAGACAGAGUGAGACUCCAUCUCAA
Pongo abelii (Sumatran orangutan) is the source of this 148-nucleotide unclassified non-coding RNA. It matches the Rfam family "Metazoan signal recognition particle RNA". From Rfam's summary of the family: The signal recognition particle (SRP) is a universally conserved ribonucleoprotein. Lineage: Eukaryota; Metazoa; Chordata; Mammalia; Primates; Hominidae. The record is from Ensembl.